AUAACACUAUGAACAGCUGGGAGGACAGGAAGAUGCAAAGAGCUAACCCGUAUACCAUUCUUAAUUAUAGUAAGUUUAUGACCUACUGGGGAUAUAAAACAUCCUAUUGAUUUCUCCUGCAGCUUGUAUUAGUGGUAAUCAUCUUUUAUCUAGAGGGAAUGGAAAGUAAAAUGAUUUAUAGUUCUGUUUCUAUGGAAGCUCCUAAUUCUAAUUGCCAACAGGCUUUUAAAAAAAAUUGCUCUUACGCUAAAUUCUGACAAUGUAUUUUUAGCCCAGAGGCACAUUUUGAUGUUUGUACUCAUCCUGAACUAGGCAUUAAAAUGCUGUCAGUGGAUGGAUAUGCACCACAGAUUGAAAACUACUUGAUCUAGCACAAUACUCAUAAUUUAGUAGGAUCAUGCAAUCCUGUGUACGGUUUCCUUGGAGGAAGUCCCAUUGAGCUCAGCAAUGCUCAUUUUUGACUGCUGAGGUUCAGCUUGCAAAACACAGCGAGCUUUAGCAAAAGACCUUCAGCCGGCUGAAAUUCAAUCAUUAGCUUCCAAUCAGGAAAAUUCUCAAAGAAGUGUUGCCAUUUAAGCUGCCAGCACGAAACGCAACAAGAAAAAAUAUCCAGCCUCAUUUUCCGAAUUCUUCCACGGUCAUUCUGACACAAUCAAACAGUAAAACUUGAAAGCUUUGUUAUUACCUCAUCCAGUUGCUAGAGACAGGAGGGUCUGUCAAUUACCCUGGCACUGCAGCAGAUGAUGUCAUUGCUCUAGCUUGGUGGGUGGCGGGAUCCUAGAACUUCCCUCUUCUUCAUUCCUCUUCUAUUACGUCAAUGCACACAAGGGUGAGGAAUAAGAGAAACAUAGUUUUCCUUAAUGAUGGGUAUUCACCACCCACCUACCUUUUCAUUAGAAGUGGAUGAAGUCGUGGGGCAGAUGCAUUUACCUGGCCUCCAGGCAGGUGAGUCGCCGCUGGUUACUGAGAGGGCAAGGUGGGUAUGGUGCAAACACACCAGCAGAGCCAAUCCAGCAUUCCUGCCUAUGCGUUUGCAGCAUGCUGCCCUCUCUGCUGCCUCACCCUUCCCUUGUAUGCAGUAGUGACUCAUCUGCUGGGAGGUUAGGUAAGUGUCUCUCGGCCACCCCAUUGUCCACUAUUGCUUCUCAUUAUUCAUUGUGGUGGGCAUAUCUGGUGUUAUACGAGUGAUAGUUACAUUCUAAGUCUAUACCUCUGUGACAACAGGAUGCUGGAUUUGAUGGUGGUACAUGACACCAGUCAAGCUUGCAAAAAUAUAUUAUUUGCCCAAUAAUAAAUGUUGGAAAUGUAAAGAGACUGAAGGUACAUUUUUUCACCUUUGGUGGACGUGCCCAAAGAUUAAGACAUUCUGGGAGAUGAUUUAUAAUGAAAUGAAAAAGGUAUUUAAAUAUACCUUCCUGAAGAAACCAGAGGCCUUUCUUCUGGGCAUGGUUGGCCAAUUGGUGCCAAAAAAGGACAGAACUUUCUUUAUGUAUGCUACAACAGCAGCAAGAAUAUUCACCAUGAAGUAUUGGAAGACACAAGAUCUACCCACCCGGGAAGAAUGGCAGAUGAAGGUGAUGGACUACAUGGAACUAGCGGAAAUGACUGGCAGAAUCCGAGACUAGGGAGAAGAGUCGGUGGAAGAAGAUUGGAAGAAAUUUAAAGUUUAUUUACAGAAACAUUGUAAAAUUAAAGAAUGUUAGAAGGAUGUUGGAAUGAAGUAAUGUGAUUUUAGUAGAAAUGCUAUAAAGGUUUAAGAAAAAAUAGAUUGUUAAAUGGUGAAAGGAGGGAAAGUAAAGCUAUAAUAUAUUAAGAUAAAAUAGAGGAUAAAAACUGGAAAAGAUGGAAAGGACUUGCUGAAAUAGCUAAUUGAACUAGAAUACAAAAAAGGGAGGCGUGAGGAGGUCAAAGAAACAAGCAAAUGAAAGAUAAAUUAUG
Molecule: long non-coding RNA, 1938 nt
Filed under: Podarcis lilfordi (Lilford's wall lizard)
Lineage: Eukaryota; Metazoa; Chordata; Lepidosauria; Squamata; Lacertidae
Source: RNAcentral